ACCACUGAGCUGGAAGGUCCCUGAGAGCAGGGCAAUGCUGCUUUCUCUUCUCUCCUUUCUCUGGGUUUCACCAGUUCCUGCCACAGCACUUGGUGUGGAGGAGACGGUUAAUAGAUGUCGUAUGAAGGACUGAGAAACUGAAGUUCAGGAAUGCGACUUUAUCAGGGCCUUUAGGAUUGGUCACGUGGUCAGAGAUGAGUAAACGCACUCACAAGAGAUGAUUUUUACCCCAGAAUUCCAGUCCAUCAGUUUCUCAAGGGACCUCUCCUGGAUCCAAGAAGUAGAACCAGUCUUUGUCCCAGUGUGGUCUCUUCCUGGUGAAUGGGAUCAGAAGGUUACUUGGUGAGCACAGAACCAAAGUUGGACCUUCUUAUGUGCCUUUUCUCUCCAGUUCUGAUGACCCAGUGGCCCGGCCUCCAUUUCUUUAAGGCUAUCUUUGUGUAAAGGGUCCGGAUCAAUCAUCCAGAAUCAGAGUGCCUGUUGGACCUGCUGGUGACACACUGAUAGGUUUUCUUCUUCUAUUUUCCCUUUUCGAAUACUCACGCAGACCCCCCACCCCACCGUUUACACUCGUUCGUUACCACAACACCGUCUCCUAAGUGUCGGAUUGUUUUGCGUUGAGCUGGGCUGCUUGCUUAUGGCAUACUUCGGACAGGCUCUUUAAUCUUCUCAGUAUGGUUGCUCAGAUCACUCUGCAAGACAGGUUACUUCUGGAAAGCUGUCCUGAGACAGCUAAUCCCAUCCUUCUCGCAGGCUUGACUUACGGGGGUGGCAUGUGCUGACCUUACGUUUUGAGAGCUGUCGUAGUUUGAGGACUGCAGUGCUUCAUCCACCUUCUACAAUUACCAAGACUAAAAAUACUUCUGAGGGUGAAGAGUCUUCAAGGGAACUUUGCAGCCUGGCCUGUCCUCCGUGUGUCUUGAUGCCAUAUUACAAGGCAAUCGCCUUGUUACUGUGGUGCUGGAAUUUUCUAGAGAAAAGUAUGAAGCGUGCUGCUGCAGGUCCAAACUGAACUCUGGGUAUGUUUACACAUGUUUCUUUGCCGUUGAUUCUGUUACUGAAAAGAACUUGGGUCAGCUCUCCUGACGUGCAGCAAACCCAAUCUACUGCCACUGGGUUGUGCUGAAGGAAAGUACGGGGUGCCGAGCAAGGAGAGUGGGCAGCUCAUGGUCAAAAGACCCAAACUCCCCGAAGGCUUUCAGGGAAGGGUUUUUAAAGACAGUGUGAGGGAGAGGGUUGCAGGUGUGUGGCCGGCUUGUGCGUAAUUCUCUGAUUGGUCCUGAUGAGGUAACAGGAAGAUGUUUUGGGAAUCUCAGUCUUCUGGUUGCAACCGGUCUGGGGUCUAGGUGCUGGUGGUCCGCACGCAGUGAAUUUCUUCCACCUGGUGGGGGUUUCAGUAUCUGCAGAACUGCUCAGGGACGCGGCUCAGGAUGUUAUCUACAGCCCUUGCGGAGGAACUAAAGGUCCUUGGCUUUGUUUUAUGGCUAAACUAUUAUCGUUUUAUCUUGCUUGACUACUUUCCUUUGUUUCUGCUCUUGUCACUUCUCUGAUUAAAUUUAUUCUUUCGGACUCAGGGAAGGCCUAGGAGGCUAAAGCUUUUCUGCAAACAAGAGGUGGGGGACGUGGGGGAGUCUGUCCCUCGGAAGGCUUCAAUCUGAUGAGCUGUGUGAGUGUCGCUCAGAGUCACUCACAUGCCAGUCAGUUGCCAGUCCUGGAUUUCAGGCAUACAUUUGUCAGGCUCCACCCCUGGCCCCCCUGUUUGUUAGUGUGCUUGAAUGAAAGCUAGUGCUUCCACUGUACAGAAAUGGUAGAGUAACUUUAAGGACUUGCUCUUGUAUUAAGGAAGAUCUUCCUUAAAAUUAAUUUCCAUUUUUCUUCCUGCAUUCACAGUCUAAUUGCACUAUAGGGUGUGCGUGUGUGGUGUGUGUGUGUGUGUGUGUAGGUACUUGCACAUGAAUAGAACAUUUACGGAAGGAUAUAUAAGAAACUGGAAGCAGUGAUUACUUCAGGGAAGAGUACUGAUGAACUGGGGUAGGAGGAGAUAUCAUUUUUUAUUUUUAACCUUUUGUACUAUUUUAGACUUCUUUAUUCAUUAAAUAAGACAUUAUAUCUGAAUGAUCGUAUGAUCUCCUGAGUCCCUCUGCUAAGAGUCUUAAUCCUCUUAGAGGGUAUAUUUUGUCCUUUCUUUCUCCAAUCUCUUUACUAAAUUCAAUUCUGUUGCCUAUAUAGAAACACCUCAUUUUUCCAGCAUUGCCUGAGAAUGAAAUUUUGCACACUGUGAAUUCUCCUGGUAAGUGGUUCUAAUUCCUUUAUAUUGUUGAAGUUUGGAGCAAUGACUAAUGGAAUCUUUAUAAGUUGUAUUACAUACCUUCCUGUCCUCUUCUUAAACAGAUUUACUGAGAUACAUUUCACAUACCACCACGUUCACUGAACGUUAAAGGUUCAGUGGUAGUUAGCAUAUUCUCAGAGAUGUGCAGCCAUCACCACAGUCUGAUUUUAGAACAUUUCAACACUCCAGAAAGAAACUCCAUACCCACUAAGCCCCUGCUAAUCUAGUUCUGUCUCUAUGGAUUUGCCUAUUGGACAUUUCACAUAAAUGAAAUCAUAUAAUAUGUGGUCUUUUGUUCCUGUCCUCUUAAACUGAGCAGAGUUAACAGUAUUUUACCUUUUCCUGAGAAUUUAGGCUUAUUAUUAUUGACAGUAUGCUUAUGAUGACCUCAAGAAAUACCGAGGCAGGGAGGCUGCUUGCCUUUGCAUUCCAUGGUCCAUUAGGAUGUACAUGACUCUCUCUGGUGCCCAGGCCAUUAGGCGACUUCUUGAAUACCUUGUCUUUUGACUUUUUAACUCUUGUUUUAACCAUCAUUUCUGAUUCUCCCAUUUUUGCAAAGUUGGACCAUUAGUACCUAAAACUAGAUGAGACCCACAGUCUCAUGCCUUCUCUUGACCCAGGCUUAUAACAUAACUCCAGUGUGAACCUUUUUCGUGUGUUUCUCUCCUUCUGCAGUGAUUAAACAGGCUGACACCUCCCCUUCUUUCACUGCUAUCUUGAGCAUCUUGUAUCAUUCAGUCAGCUAAAUUCCACCUUAGCAAUAAAUCCCCCACAAGUAUUUUAUGAUCUCUCUGGUUUCAGCGGUGUUAAACCCUUUGAUUCCUUGUAUGUUUCCUCUCCCUUUUCUUCAAAUAGUCUGUAGCCCUCACUUCAAGAACUUUAUCCACUUCCCUUUCUCUAAAAUUGCCCAAUUGUAAAAGAACACCUUUCUUUAUUUCCCUUAACAGCAUGCAUAAUCAAAGCAUUCUUGAACGAAAACCUCCAGGCAGGGUGGGGCAGAGCAGCCCCUAAGUCAAUGGGGCACUUGUCUGCGGAAGUCCAAGAGCAUUUGCAUGUUUGACAGGGAGAGAGGAUAUUUGACAUCUGAACUGACCUGGGCAGUAGAGUCUCUGUAAGUAUUUUCUUUAUCUUUCGGUAGGAUGGCGUGAGGAGGGGGAGUCUAACUUGGGGCACUGUUUCUGGUCUGGGUCAGACUCUUACAGGGCUGUUUGGGGCUUGAGUCAGGGUGGCAGGGAGGGAGUUGUCACCAUUCUGAAUUUAGCCAGAGGAGCAUGACAGUCUGACCAGGAGUAUGUCACAGGAAUUUGAGAUUUCGUGGCUUCUUAUCUUUUGCUCGUAGUCAGGAUAAGCCCAGGAGUUUGGGGCACCCUUGCUGACAGCAGUUCUGAGUCACAUUGAAUCUGGAGACCCAAGAAAAUUCAGUCUAUGUCAGGGAAACCAACCUUUCAUCGGGCCUGACUUGGGCAGGGAAGGGAUGACAAGUUGAAGAGUGCCUGGCACAGAGCAGACUCAGGAAGUAUCUGCUGAAUGACCGAGUCUCAGGUGUCAAGUCUGAGCAGUUGGUAGCGACUUUCUGACAUGAGAUGCUGAGAAAGAUCUUCAGGCUAGGUUCGGUGGGAAAUGCUGUAAUUUAGGACUGAUCUGCCAGGGGUGCAGGUGAGCAAAUGGAGAGAAGUAAAUGUGCGUGUUAAGUCCUAGCAAAUGGAGAGAAGUAAAUGUGCGUGUUAAGUCCUAGUGUGGGAAGAACAGAA
Delphinapterus leucas (beluga whale) is the source of this 4080-nucleotide long non-coding RNA. The record is from Ensembl. Lineage: Eukaryota; Metazoa; Chordata; Mammalia; Artiodactyla; Monodontidae.